Molecule: long non-coding RNA, 408 nt
Organism: Mustela lutreola (European mink)
Lineage: Eukaryota; Metazoa; Chordata; Mammalia; Carnivora; Mustelidae
Exons: 3
Source: RefSeq, a predicted model, not a curated record
GUGGUGGGGAAGGCGAGAACCAGAGCACUUCCGGACGGCCUCUGCAGAGGCGUGGCUGUCCGCCCGGAGUCGCAGCCGCAGUUUCAGCAGCGGCGACGGCUAGGGGCGGGGCCGGUGGCUGCCGAGCCCGGCAUCUGUGAGUGGCUGGGUUUGGGGAGGCGACGUUUCUGGAAGCUGCUGGAAAGCGCUCGAGUGGCGGAGAGACACCCAAAUGCUUAUCUCCAAAGAUGGAAGAAGAAGAUUAAAACAAUAAUUUGCAGAAAAGCCCUGCCUUUCCAGAGAUCUAAAGUGUAAUGCAACCGUAUGCUGUUGAGGGGCUCGAAUCUUGGCUGUCUUCGCCCCUCUGCACUAGCCGAUACCCCAAUUUUCAGGGGACGUGAUCUCAUACUGUCGCCCUCACUUUUGAAG